AUUUUUUUGUUUGAGAAACUUUGUGGGUUUCUCAUGGAUGGAAUAGAUGGAAAUGCCCUUAGCUGCAGCAUGCAUUGAGAAUACGUAGAUACUUUCUCUCGAAUCUUCUUCUUCAGAAAGAAAAAAAGAGAAAAGAAAACACGACAAUUGUCUUCUCUUCUCGAAGGUGCGUUAGGGUUCCGAUCUAAUCAUGGCGGACUCUCUUUUGAUGGAGGUUAACUAUCGCCGGCCUGAAAAGAUUCCGAAGUUGGACGAAGAUUGUGAAGGAUCGGAAUCUUCGUCGAAACAGCGCGUGGUCAAGUGGGGAACAGCGGAAGAUGAUGAAUACUUGCGACAGUAUUUGUUGUUUCACUAUCAAUUCCAGAAAACUCAGGUAAGAAAAAACCCCUAGAUUUCUCUGUAGUUAGGGUUGAGAUUUGAAAUCUGAUUAUGGAAUCUGUUUUGUUGAAAAUUAGGGUUUCUCGAUUAAAUGGGAGCAAUUUGAUUACAAUUUUCGUAGUAGAUCAAUGGAUAAGUCUCCAAAUGAAAUCAGCGAGAGAAAAAGCAAUGCCGUAUUGAUCCGUGAGAUGACACUCACUGCUAUCGACAAACACAACGAAGCUCAUGGAACCAAACUUGUGUUUGUGGAGCAUGUUGAGGCAAAUUACCAAUUGACCAGAGGUCUUACCUGCUGGUUAACAUUUUGGGCUACAGAUAUGGCCUCUUCCCCUCCACAGUCUAAAAUCUAUCAAGCACAUGUGUGGCGUCGCGGACAAAACUUUCACACUUUUAUAUUCAGGCUCAAGCCCACAGAUGAAGAGAUUGAAGCUGUUGAAGUGCAGCCACCGUCUCCCAUGCUUUAUGAAUUAGAUAAACCACCGAUUGUCUUUUCUCGACCUGGUCCUGAAGAUGAAGCAUUGCCUGGUGUCCCCUUUGUCUUCAAUCGAACUGGAGCUGGUCUUGACCCCGAUUGGUAGAGUAUGCUCUUGAUCCCGAUAGGAUAAUGUAUGCCAGUCCCUUUUUGGCAUUGACUAGUAAUAUUUCUAAUGUAAGUCGUCGGUUUGGAAAUUUUGUUACUUGGUCAAACUUUUUUACAAGGAAAUUAUGUACUAUCACUUAUCCAUAGAUAUACCAUUAACCGUGAGUAAUUUAUAUUAUCAACACACACUAUUCGUAUUGACAUCGAAUAAAUACAAGGUCCCAUAAAUUGACCUGAACCUAUUCUUAUGUUAUGAUGCAGAGGAAUAUAAUUAAGUAAGAGAUAAGUUGGAAAGUAGACACUUUUUUUAUAAAUAAUUUGCAAAGUAGGUAGUUUUUUUAGAAAUAUGAGAAAUAGACACUUUUCUCUUUCCUCUCUAAUACAACUUUUUGUCUAAUAGAGAUUUUAGUAAAUGACUUAUAUAACCUUUUGUUAUUUUGUUAUGUAGUAAGAUAAAGACAAAACUCAAGUCAAAUCCUACUUUUUAUUUUUACUUAAAUAUUUUUACUUUAUUUGAUGAUAUUUCUUCAUAAAAAUUUACCACAUAAUCAUAUUAGUUCUUAAAAUUUUUAUGUGAAUCUAAAAAAUCUAAUUUUGCUAUAUUUUAAAAAUAUGUAGCAAUUUUUAUUUAAUCUCAGCCGACGGUGUACGUGAUAUUGUUAAAAUUGGUGUACUAAUGGUAGUAUACAACAAUAACGUAAAAAUUAAUAUAUAAUUACUGAUGUAGAAAAUGAUACACUGAGUAUAACAGUGUACAAAAUGAUGUACAUAGAUGAUGAAAAAUAUGGUGUACAUAAUCGUACACCUUUAAAAAUCUAUGAGACAGUGUACUAACAUUGGUGUACGAGAUGAUGUACACCACUAAUUGAAAUAAUGAUUUAUACAUUCUCUAUAAGUGUACACCAAGUUUUGUACACUUUGUCUACCAAUCUUGUAUGUUAUCAUUUAAAAGUUGUAUAUAUCAUUCUAUCCACCAAUCGUCAUAAUAGUUUCAAUCAUUUUGUACACCAUUAAGAGUAACUUAAUUAUGUACACCAUCAUGUACACCAUUAUAUUGAAUAAUAAUAUUUGGUUUAUACAAUCAUUAUGUUUGUAAAAUAUU
This 2060-nucleotide small RNA is filed under the name Arabidopsis thaliana (thale cress). RNAcentral describes it as "ATSL300540". The record is from RNAcentral. Lineage: Eukaryota; Viridiplantae; Streptophyta; Magnoliopsida; Brassicales; Brassicaceae.